GGAGAGCCCAAAGGAGAUGUAGUCGAGGA
Molecule: non-coding RNA, 29 nt
Filed under: Homo sapiens (human)
Lineage: Eukaryota; Metazoa; Chordata; Mammalia; Primates; Hominidae
Source: RNAcentral